ACGGCAGCACGGGCUUCGGCCUGGUGGCGAGUGGCGAACGGGUGAGUAAUGCAUCGGAACGUGCCCAUGUCGUGGGGGAUAACGUAGCGAAAGCUACGCUAAUACCGCAUACGCCCUGAGGGGGAAAGCGGGGGAUUCUUCGGAACCUCGCGCGAUUGGAGCGGCCGAUGUCGGAUUAGCUAGUAGGUGAGGUAAAGGCUCACCUAGGCGACGAUCCGUAGCGGGUCUGAGAGGAUGAUCCGCCACACUGGGACUGAGACACGGCCCAGACUCCUACGGGAGGCAGCAGUGGGGAAUUUUGGACAAUGGGGGCAACCCUGAUCCAGCCAUGCCGCGUGAGUGAAGAAGGCCUUCGGGUUGUAAAGCUCUUUCGGCCGGGAAGAAAUCGGCGACUCUAACAUAGUCGCUGGAUGACGGUACCGGACUAAGAAGCACCGGCUAACUACGUGCCAGCAGC
This 457-nucleotide ribosomal RNA is filed under the name uncultured bacterium. RNAcentral's name for it is "bacterial SSU rRNA". It matches the Rfam family "Bacterial small subunit ribosomal RNA", at positions 66 to 515 of the family's 1533-position model. The record is from RNAcentral.